GAUGAACGCUGGCGGCGUGCCUAAUACAUGCAAGUCGAGCAAACAGACGAGGAGCUUGCUCCUCUGACGUUAGCGGCGGACGGGUGAGUAACACGUGGAUAACCUACCUAUAAGACUGGGAUAACUUCGGGAAACCGGAGCUAAUACCGGAUAAUAUAUUGAACCGCAUGGUUCAAUAGUGAAAGACGGUUUUGCUGUCACUUAUAGAUGGAUCCGCGCCGCAUUAGCUAGUUGGUAAGGUAACGGCUUACCAAGGCAACGAUGCGUAGCCGACCUGAGAGGGUGAUCGGCCACAGGGGAACUGAGACACGGUCCAGAAUCCGACGGGAGGCAGCAGUAGGGAAUCUUCCGCAAUGGGCGAAAGCCUGACGGAGCAACGCCGCGUGAGUGAGGAAGGUCUUCGGAUCGUAAAACUCUGUUAUUAGGGAAGAACAAAUGUGUAAGUAACGAUGCACGUCUUGACGGUACCUAAGCAGAAAGCCACGGCUAACUACGU
This 496-nucleotide ribosomal RNA is filed under the name uncultured bacterium. RNAcentral's name for it is "partial 16S ribosomal RNA". It matches the Rfam family "Bacterial small subunit ribosomal RNA", at positions 28 to 506 of the family's 1533-position model. The record is from RNAcentral.